Long non-coding RNA from Stegostoma tigrinum, 2609 nucleotides. RefSeq lists it as uncharacterized. Lineage: Eukaryota; Metazoa; Chordata; Chondrichthyes; Orectolobiformes; Stegostomatidae. The record is from RefSeq and is a predicted model, not a curated record. The transcript is spliced from 4 exons.
CCAGCUUCACACUUCGUUGUCUUGGAUUCUCCAGCCUCUGCAGUUCCCAUUAUCCCUGUACCCAAAAGCUGAUACCUGGUUGCAUUGUUCUACCAUUAGCCACACAAAGAAUCUCACUGCCUGCCUCACCUUUGAAAUGGAUCCAGUGACAUGAAGUUCUUGAAUUUGUGCGAUAGAUAAAAAAUUAUACUUGCUACAUUUCCGGCACAAUAUUAAAGAAAUGGUAUCAUUGCAGUUAUGGCAUUUAACUAGUAAUGCAGAAGAGUGUAUUAAUCCCAGCGAACCACUGUCUCAUCAGAGAGAGAUGACUGGUUGGUGGUUUAGCCUGAGGGUUUUCAUAACUCAGGCUUGGGUUGGGAUUGAGAAGGUGUGACCUUCACGGUAACCUCAGCUGGUGUGUGAAUUUAAACCACGCCAUAGGUUUCAUUCUGCAUUCUGCAUCACAAACUCUCUUUCCAGCCAACUGAGCUGACUGACCCCCCCAAAAUGAGCAAGAGCGCAUUCCCCCACUUCCACAAAUUUUGCAGUCAAGUAUUCUGCGUUUAUGGACAUUGAAGGCAUCAGCAAAGCCAAAGUGCAAAGGGAUAGCCUCAACCUAAGAGAACCACUUCAGCAUAAUGGUCUUUCCAUGAAACUGCCAAAAUUUAGUUGUGUCAGUAAGACUUAGUCACUUUAUGUGACUUCACAUCCCAGUUCUGUGGUAGAUUCUAAACUGCCCUCUGAAAUGACAAGCCACACAGUCAUUCUCAGGCUCUGUUUCAGAUCUUCAGAAAUGGAAUCAUCUACAAAAGUCUAUCCUAGUCUACUGCAAUUUAGUCACCUUGAUCAUGAAGCAUAUACCCUGGAGCCAGACAUCCUGAACUUCACCUCAAUAAAGUUCUUGUGGUGAAUGUAAUGCUGUCCUGUUUACUCAAAACCUAGUGUCAGAAAUGGCACUGAAAUAAAAAGCUUGGCUGCAGUGCUGUGGGCUGUCACUAAAAAACAGAAAUAAACCCACAAAAAAUCCCAAUUAAACCACUGCUUAAGAGAAAAUAAUUGCAGCUGUUCCCUCUUUUCAAAUCACUGGAAAUAUGAGCAAGCGGGUCUUCCAUGAACAAUGACAGAAUUAAGCAAUAGCUACAGAUUGUUGAGCAAAUCAGAACAUGUCACUAGACUUCUAUCACUGUUGGGAAGAAACCGUUUCAAAAUGAAUUUCAUCCCAAAUCUCUCUGGAGAGCAGCAAAAAAAUAAAAGUACAUGGCAGGAAUGUUUCAAGAUUGGAAAGUAUGUUUUAUAGCCAAGUGAGCAUUACAUAUGAACAGCACCUGUUAACUACUAGGGAACUAAGUGAAAAAGAGUCCAUUUAAUCACUGUGUAACAACAUUAACUCAGUUCAUAGAAAUAUGCCAACCUGUGCAUGUUAAAGAUGAACUAAUUCGAGACAGGAUUGUGUUAUUAAUAAGGGAUCUAAAAGUGCAUUCAUGCCUACUGAGCGAAGGCUAACUUAGACUCUGUAGAGCAAUUGAAUAUACAGAAGUGCCAAGGUCAUAAAUCUACAGCUACAGCAUAUUCACAGCACUAUAGAUCAGGUCUUGCUUUAUGCUGACAGAUAUUUAGCUAGUCAUAGAGCAGAACAAUCACAGAUUAAGCCAAAAUGCAGACGCUACAGAAAACAUCAAAAGAGAGGAAGAUAUGUACAAUGUGGGGAAAACUAAUGUCCUCAAUGAAAAGUGCUGGAUCAAAUUGUGUCGAUAGAAGGAAGCAUAACAAGCAAGCAAAGAUGGACAUUGAAGAAUAAUGGCUGAAGAUUGUGAUGAACCAGUAUCACCAUAUAAUGAGUUUGAUCAGUCAAGUUGGAGCAAUAACAUGCCUUCAUUGUCCAUGGUCAAGAGGACUGGUCCACAAGGCAUCCAUCCACCACCACUCAGGGAGACACCGUGGAUGCCUCAGAGGAAGUACUGCCUCUGUCCAGGUGCAAAUGCAACCUUGAAGAUUCUGAAACCAUCAAUCUUAUCCUGAGAUGAUGUUCCAUGGACCAAGGAGGACUCGGAGGCAAAGCAGCUGUAACAGGGCUCUGGCACUAGCCUAAAAAGGAUGAAUAUGUAUUUAACUGCAGCCUUGAGUUUUAAAUGAACUUCCUACAAAGUACUUUGUGAAGUGGAAUAAAUAAGCUCGUAAUUUUCUGUCUCUACCGAGACCUCAAAAAAAAAUUAUAUUGAAAUUGAACAUUAUUGAACAGUCUGUUUAUCCAAAGUUUGCCUUUGAUGCUCUGUUGUCCUUUUCUACCAGACUGGCUAAUUAUUUUUGGAAAUCAAGAUAAUAAUCCCAUCAUUCACAAAGAACAUAUCAAGUAAUGAAAGUAAUCGGUGACUUUGGGCAGUUUUCUGGACAAUCCGGAAUAUCGUCUACAUUCUAUACUUCUCAAUUUGUUGAAUAAUCCCAACUGGUCAAGCGUAAGCUUGCUCAACAUUGUUUCAGAAAUGGAAAUCAAACAGACUUAAACAGAGUUGAAGUAACAUAUUUCUUAAUUCACUGUUUUGAUUUUUUUUGUUUUAUCUUUCAAGAAUUGCUGUCAUGCGUUACAAUCUAUCCCUCAGUUUUGAAAACAAGAAAUAAAGUGAAAUGACAAU